Molecule: unclassified non-coding RNA, 1027 nt
Filed under: Hevea brasiliensis (rubber tree)
Lineage: Eukaryota; Viridiplantae; Streptophyta; Magnoliopsida; Malpighiales; Euphorbiaceae
Source: RNAcentral
CUCUAACUGACAUUUGAUUUGCAUGCAUCAUAAAAGGAGAUAUCGUAUAUCAAACCAAGAGAAGAUCCUUAAUUUUCCAGAAGUAAAUAUCCCUACCAUAUAAGUAAAAUACUUAAGAAUAGUAAAGCAAUGCAAAAAUACCAAUCUAAGUAGCAAGAAGCUUCCUUUCAAGACUAUAUGAAUUACACAUGAAAGUGAAACAAAAAUACAUCAUGAUACCCAAGGCUGAAAGAACAAAAUUUUCUACAAAUUGAGUACAGCAAUCAUAGUUAUCAAGGGAAAAUACUCUUGCAUUUGAAAACUGACCAACGUAAAACAAAGAUUUUAGCUUUAGCGAGCAUAUAGUUAAGGUUAAUUCCAUUGGAUGUAAAACUAUAGAAACCAUCGAUAUACUAGAAAGCAGCUAAAAAUCAUAAGAUAGCCAUCAAGGGAAUGUAAACAAAAAGCAAUACUGCUUCUCCCUAUUUUGGAGUUAGGACAGACCCUGAACAAGGUUAUCAGCUGAGAAGCGAUCUUCUACAUGAAAGAAGCAAUAAAUUUUGAAUUGUAUCAAUUUAUUUGUAAAAUUACACUCUUAACCACAGGACCCAUAUCUCAGAAUUGCAUAAAAAAACUUUAAGAAAAAAGCACACAUAAAGAGGCCUAGAUUCACACAUAUCCAUGCAUGAUUUCAUACAUUGGCCUAUAAAAUGUUAAUCACAUUUCACAAUUAUCCCCGUGUUUCAACUCUUUUACACGUAUAAACUUGUAGCGCCUACCAAGAAACCCACAUUAUCUACUGUCUAGCAAGAAGGAUAGAAAGAGAGGGGAGGACCUUGACAUCAUGGGCAGCCCUGAAUUGCAAAGCGGGACCCACAUCAAAGGAGCCCUUGAUAAGAGCAAUUUGGUCAACAAGAUCAUAGUGAAUGGAGAGGAGUUUCGAAGUGAAGGUAAUUUGGGGUUCAGAGACCUCUCCUUUGUUGUUGUUCUGGAAAGAGAGCUUGAGUUUAACCAAGCUAUCAAACAACUUACAUGAGACCUUAUGGAA